Paramuricea clavata is the source of this 220-nucleotide non-coding RNA. The record is from the annotation of a GenBank genome assembly. Lineage: Eukaryota; Metazoa; Cnidaria; Anthozoa; Malacalcyonacea; Plexauridae.
CCGAUUACAGGGGGGGGGCAUUAAAAGUUUAUAGAAGAUAGCCAAUGAUGUUCAAGAUGCAUAACAUCAGGACAAGAGUUAUACUAAAGUUUGUGCGUGGGUUAGCUGUUCGUAUUGGCGGAGGUACUGACAUCACCUAGUUUUCCGAUGUCUUCACAAAAGUGAAUGUUCUAAAACUCUUUGGCGCCCUUGAGUGAACCUUCAGUGUUAUUUGUGAUAC